ACACUUAAAACGCCAGGGUACUACGAGCCUCGCUUAAAACCCAAAGGAUUUGACGGUGUUCCACCCAACUAGAGGAGCCUGUUCUAUAAUCGAUGACCCACGAUCUACCUAACCAUUUUUUGCUAUCCAGCCUGUAUACCUCCGUCGUAAGCUUAUCGCUUGAGUGAGAAGAAGUAAGCAAAAGGGCUUAGAGCCAAAACGUCAGGUCAAGGUGCAGCUUAUAAAAUGGAAGAAAUGAGCUACAAUUUCUAACCUAGAACACACGAAUUACUGCAUGAAACAAGGUCAUGAAGGUGGAUUUAGUAGUAAGUAGGGAAUAGAGAGCCCUACUUAAUUCGGCCCUGGAACG
Molecule: ribosomal RNA, 349 nt
Filed under: Polypedates leucomystax B
Lineage: Eukaryota; Metazoa; Chordata; Amphibia; Anura; Rhacophoridae
Description: partial 12S ribosomal RNA
Rfam family: Bacterial small subunit ribosomal RNA
Source: RNAcentral